UCCUUUUAAAACUUUUACGCAAAAAAGGAAUUUUAAUUCAACAUCGAGGUCAUAAACUCACUUUUCAAUUUGAUCUUUCUAAGUGAAUUAAGCUGUUAUCCCUAAAGUAACUUAUUUCUAUUUUAGAAUUUCUAGAUAUUUAAACAGGUCUGUUUUUCUUUAAAGGAAAAGAUCUUUUUCCUACCGCCCCAGUAAACNACUUUUUCUCCUUCAAAAAUAGAAAAAAAAUAUAAAGUUUUAUAGGGUCUUCUUGUCUAAAAGAAGUAUUNUAGCCUUCUUACUAAAAAGUAAAAUUCAUUUUUUUAAAUAGAAAGAAAUUCUCUUGGUUUACUCUUUCAUUCCAGUCUCAAAUUAAAAGA
This 359-nucleotide ribosomal RNA is filed under the name Buthus occitanus mardochei (Moroccan scorpion). RNAcentral describes it as "partial 16S ribosomal RNA". The record is from RNAcentral. Lineage: Eukaryota; Metazoa; Arthropoda; Arachnida; Scorpiones; Buthidae.